CGGCCCAGACUCCUACGGGAGGCAGCAGUGGGGAAUAUUGCACAAUGGGCGCAAGCCUGAUGCAGCCAUGCCGCGUGAAUGAUGAAGGCCUUAGGGUUGUAAAAUUCUUUCGCUAGGGAUGAUAAUGACAGUACCUAGUAAAGAAGCCCCGGCUAACUUCGUGCCAGCAGCCGCGGUAAUACGAAGGGGGUUAGCGUUGUUCGGAAUUACUGGGCGUAAAGCGCACGCAGGCGGUUUGUUAAGCUAGAUGUGAAAGCCCCGGGCUCAACCUGGGAUGGUCAUUUAGAACUGGCAGACUAGAGUCUUGGAGAGGGGAGUGGAAUUCCAGGUGUAGCGGUGAAAUGCGUAGAUAUCUGGAGGAACAUCAGUGGCGAAGGCGACUCCCUGGCCAAAGACUGACGCUCAUGUGCGAAAGUGUGGGUAGCGAACAGGAUUAGAUACCCUGGUAGUCCACACCGUAAACGCUGUCUACUAGCUGUGUGUGCCUUUAAGGCGUGCGUAGCGAAGCUAACGCGCUAAGUAGACCGCCUGGGGAGUACGGCCGCAAGGUUAAAACUCAAAUGAAUUGACGGGGGCCCGCACAAGCGGUGGAGCAUGUGGUUUAAUUCGAUGCAACGCGAAGAACCUUACCUACACUUGACAUGCAGAGAACUUUCCAGAGAUGGAUUGGUGCCUUCGGGAACUCUGACACAGGUGCUGCAUGGCUGUCGUCAGCUCGUGUCGUGAGAUGUUCGGUUAAGUCCGGCAACGAGCGCAACCCACAUCCUUAGUUGCCAGCAGUUCGGCUGGGCACUCUAGGGAAACUGCCCGUGAUAAGCGGGAGGAAGGUGUGGAUGACGUCAAGUCCUCAUGGCCCUUACGGGUUGGGCUACACACGUGCUACAAUGGCAGUGACAAUGAG
RNAcentral lists this ribosomal RNA (901 nucleotides) under Paraphysomonas imperforata. RNAcentral's name for it is "partial Bacterial small subunit ribosomal RNA". It matches the Rfam family "Bacterial small subunit ribosomal RNA", at positions 327 to 1246 of the family's 1533-position model. Lineage: Eukaryota; Chrysophyceae; Chromulinales; Paraphysomonadaceae. The record is from RNAcentral.